This 400-nucleotide ribosomal RNA is filed under the name uncultured bacterium. RNAcentral's name for it is "bacterial SSU rRNA". It matches the Rfam family "Bacterial small subunit ribosomal RNA", at positions 355 to 770 of the family's 1533-position model. The record is from RNAcentral.
UGAGGAAUCUUCCACAAUGGGGGCAACCCUGAUGGAGCAACGCCGCGUGCAGGAUGAAGGCCUUCGGGUUGUAAACUGCUUUUAUUAGUGAAGAAUAUGACGGUAACUAAUGAAUAAGGAUCGGCUAACUACGUGCCAGCAGCCGCGGUCAUACGUAGGAUCCGAGCGUUAUCCGGAGUGACUGGGCGUAAAGAGUUGCGUAGGUGGUUUGUAAAGCGAAUAGUGAAAUCUGGCGGCUCAACCGUACAGGCUAUUAUUCGAACUCACAAACUCGAGAAUGGUAGAGGUAACUGGAAUUUCUUGUGUAGGAGUGAAAUCCGUAGAUAUAAGAAGGAACACCAAUGGCGUAGGCAGGUUACUGGACCAUUUCUGACACUAAGGCACGAAAGCGUGGGGAGCG